CUAGCUAUAAGUAUACUCUUCCUUAACUAAUUUGCACAUGAAAUUCUGCACAUGUACAUAUACAGAUAUAUUUCAGUCGUAAGUAGGGAGCAUCUUGUGGGGAGCCCUAAUUCGCACGCACGGGUAUCUGAUAAAAAACUAACGCUAGGUACGUACGUACGUACGUACGUUCAUCCCCAAUUAAAAGUAGUAGAGUAGAAAGAACAUGCUACGAGCUAGAUAUAGAUGCAUCGGUGCAUCAUCAUGCACAUACGUUUCUUCAUGCUUGCAUGCGUGGUCUCAAAACUGGAAGCGCCCGUUCGCUCCCGGAGGUGGCGCGAGCACCAUGCCCACGUGUGGCAGUGCCCGUGGCAGCUGCUUCUGCUGC
Molecule: long non-coding RNA, 367 nt
Filed under: Sorghum bicolor (sorghum)
Lineage: Eukaryota; Viridiplantae; Streptophyta; Magnoliopsida; Poales; Poaceae
Description: long non-coding RNA (SBIC_LNC000145)
Source: RNAcentral